UUUCCUACGGGGGGCAGCAGUGGGGAAUAUUGCACAAUGGGGGAAACCCUGAUGCAGCAACGCCGCGUGAAGGAAGACGGUUUUCGGAUUGUAAACUUCUUUUCUUAGUGAAGAAGCAAGUGACGGUAGCUAAGGAAUAAGCAUCGGCUAACUACGUGCCAGCAGCCGCGGUAAUACGUAGGGAGCAAGCGUUAUCCGGAUUUACUGGGUGUAAAGGGCGCGUAGGCGGGAUGGCAAGUCAGAUGUGAAAUCCGGGGGCUCAACCCCUGAACUGCAUUUGAAACUGUCGUUCUUGAGUACUGGAG
This 305-nucleotide ribosomal RNA is filed under the name uncultured bacterium. RNAcentral's name for it is "bacterial SSU rRNA". It matches the Rfam family "Bacterial small subunit ribosomal RNA", at positions 335 to 654 of the family's 1533-position model. The record is from RNAcentral.